UACAGAGGUCUCAAGCGUUGUUCGGAUUCAUCGGGCGUAAAGGGUGCGUAGGUGGCGCCGUAAGUCGGGUGUGAAAUUUCGGAGCUUAACUCCGAAACUGCAUUCGAUACUGCGGUGCUUGAGGACUGGAGAGGAGACUGGAAUUCAUGGUGUAGCAGUGAAAUGCGUAGAGAUCAUGAGGAAGACCAGUGGCGAAAGGCGGG
This 203-nucleotide ribosomal RNA is filed under the name uncultured bacterium. RNAcentral's name for it is "partial 16S ribosomal RNA". It matches the Rfam family "Bacterial small subunit ribosomal RNA", at positions 524 to 725 of the family's 1533-position model. The record is from RNAcentral.